RNAcentral lists this long non-coding RNA (3583 nucleotides) under Homo sapiens (human). RNAcentral's name for it is "non-protein coding lnc-HEMGN-4:1". The record is from RNAcentral. Lineage: Eukaryota; Metazoa; Chordata; Mammalia; Primates; Hominidae.
GACUUCCUCCCUCUCUCCGAUUGCACGUGGGGCGGCUGAUGUAAGACCUUUCUCGUGGGUGGGGGGGCUUCCCCGCCCCCCGGCCCCCGCCGCGCUGAGACUCCUUCUACCUCCGGCCCCACGUCGUCGCGCCCGGAGCUGGGCUUGCGGCCCGGGCUGGGAGGUUCGCGGGAAGGGUUGGUGGGAAGCUUUGCAGUCCGGCUGCGGGGGUCCCUAAAACCCAGUCCAUCCGGGGAGGCUCACGGGGGCGGCCCGACGCCCGCGGAGGCGCGAGAUGUGAAGAAGCCGGGGACAGGCUUUGACGUUCACCUUUUGCCUGCCACACAGUCUGGGGCCAACAGGCCGAACCCCGCUGCCUCCUUGGCAGACUGGCGUCCGUAGUGCCGCCGAGGAUCCCCCCCGUCGGGACGGAAUCGCGGCCGACCGGCCCUGGCAGGGCAGCUGGGGUCGCUUGCUAAGCCACAGAGCAGCCGAGCAUCCCCACCCUGUUCAGGAGAGUCUCCCUCGGUUUUCUAACAUUUUAAUAGGAGCUAGAGAAGGAAACGAUUAGCAUUUCUAAUAGGGCCUCAGGGUUUCCCCGCAGACUUUUUUUUUUAAUCUCAUUUAUUCCUUAGGGCACCCCUGUGAAGUGUGUAAAUUCUUGGUGGUCUAAGUUUCGCUGAAACCUGGCAGGCAGCCUUUGUCAUGGUCUGGCCCAAAGGGUCCCAGGGGUUAGAGCACCAGAUCGGGAUGAGUGUUGUGCUUUGCAGAACACCGGGGAAUGACGUUAUAUUCAGCGUACAAUAAGUAAAUACAUAAUGUGUCAAAUCAAAUACAAUCUAAGAAGAUCGUACUGACAAGAAGCACCAAAAACUAAGAACAAUUUGUUAAAGAAAAACUUGAAAUUCUAUGUAUUAACAUGAAGUUUUAUGGAAGUUAAGAAAGUGCCCCCUUUCCUAUUUUACCUAAGUUUUAGUGGCAAACAACCCAAAUUUAGUUGUAAACCAAUUAUAUAUCAGCUUUUAAAAUACUGAGUGAGUUAACAUUUGAAGAUGAAAGUUUUAGAAGGAAUAUGGGAAAAGAAAAACUUUCUGGUAGUAGUUCCCUGACUCCGUUUGUAGUCUCAGCAGACGUCUUUAUGACAAGGGAAAAUGGAGACAGAUGUUCUCAGGGUUACAAAAGGUCUGUAACUAAGGUUAUGAGAACCACAGGGCUAUGCAAUGAGGGCUUUUACCAAACAAAACAAAACAAAACAAAAAAUCGGUUUCAUGAGCCAACAAGCGAUUAUUGAGGAUCUGCUUUAAGGGGCUUGAUAUUAUUUCUCUAAUUCUCAGACAACUUUCUGAAGUAGGUGAUAAUUUAAUCAUUUUACAGAUGAGGAGCUCAGGAAUCUUAAGCUGCACGUCCAGCAAGAAGCAGAGCUAGGAUUUACACCCAGAUAGGUCUGACUCCACAGCCCACCAUCUUGUGCUACAUCAUCAGUCUGGCUAGAGUGGAGUCAUAGCAUGGUGGGGGGCUACUUUGGUGCUGUAGGUUGGGAACAGUUGCAGAGGGCUUUUAAUACCAAACAGCAUGCAAGUGUCCUCGUGCAGGAAAAGGGGGGAUGGUGCUGAAGGAGUCUUAAACGUGGUAGCUCUGUGCUAGAGAGUGGUAACCUGAUGGCUCCCGGAGGAGGUGGUAUUAAUCCUUAGCAUCAGGGCAAAUCUUGAGACUCUGUCCUCUCUUUAUGGCCAACUGGAGGGUAUGAAGGACUCUUUCCCUAGGGUACAUAGCUCACAGGAUAGAUGUGUGUUUUAUAGUAUUAAGCCACAAAGUAAUUAAUAAACAUAGCCACAAUGUGCUGCAAAUAGAAGGCAAAAGAGCCAAAGGAGGAGAGACUACAGACACGGCACUGUCCGUUCUUACGCAGCCGGUGCUGGCAUGCACCUCUGUGAACAAAGAGCAUGUGUUCCAGUGACAUGCUUCUUUGUCAGGGGCUUCACUGCCAGAGGCAUAAAUAACACAGGCAGAGCAGGGUGUGUCUCAUUGCCCUGCCAACAUCUUCUACGGGACUGUCAGUCUACAGGCCUGAAGGGGCUGUUGUCACAGCGCCUGGGUUUUGAAUAUUGCUGCUCUUAACAUCAUUCUCUGCAUCUGUGUGUGAGAAAGAUGUAGAAUAUUCAAUUAUAUCUAAUCUGCAAGUAUUAUCAUGUCCAUGGAUUUAUGGAUUUCAACAAGGGCUGAAAGGGAAUAAGGAAAUGUAAAAACAGUUUGUUAGACCAAACUAAGAAUGAACUUCUUUUUACUUCCAUUGAUGUUAACGUUUGACCAGUAAGUAAUAAAAAUAUCAAAUAAUGCCAGGUUUUGGCACCCCUUGAGCCUUAAAACUGCCUGUUAAUCAGAAUGGCUAUGUAUUCCAAAAAGCUCUAAAAUGUCUGAGCGGAACACUCCGAGCCAGUUUGUAACUCCUUGGACCUGUGCCCCACCCCGCUGCCUCAGCAACAGCAUGUUACUUGUCAUGUCAUCAUAUGACUUGAGCCUUCCCCACAAACUUUGUGGCUGUGGACAGACUUUAAUAAAUCUGAAGAUGAGAGGAAACAGCCCUACUAGGUCAUUGAUUUAACUAGCUCUGAAACCAGCUUAACAGAAUGGGCACAUUUUAGUAACGACAGUAUAUGAAGCUGAUAUAUAAUAUAGAGUGAGGAAAUGAUUACUCUUUAAAUACUUCCAUUCUUCCCGUCCUCUUCUACACGCAUGUGCAUACACUGGUAAGAACAUAUCUCUUCCCCAGCCCGGAGUUUCCACAACUUAGUGUGUGUACCUCUAUUAUUGCAGUUCGGCAACAAAUGGUAGUUAUUGAAGGAUCUAACUUCUCAAUUAGAACUCAGAGAAGUAUUUCUGGAUGAUAGGAAUGGAGAGGAGGACCUGGGGUCCAUCUUUAGAACAUAGCAGAUGCUUUGCAAAUGUAUGUUAUGUUGAAAAUAGUGUCACAUGUACUAAAAAAUACCAUCUAGGCAGCUGAGAUUAUUGAGACAAGGGGAGAGGGAGAGGCAAAUAGGUGAAAAUGGGUUAAGGGAGGAGAUCCUGUUAGUCUCCACAUGGUAAAAACAGAGGAGGGGAAUGUGUCAGGUGUACAGGAAGCUCUAGGCCCAGUAACGGGCCCCUGCCCAGGUUCCUUUCUGCUUUCUGAACCAGCUGGAGGUGCUAUGCCUUCCUGGUGCAGCAGGGAAGAGCUAUGACUACCAAGAGUCAGGUCUAAUAUUUAUUAAGCACCAUCCUUAUGCCAAGUGCUAUGCAUGGGACUUUUGUGUACACUGCUUCUCAGUUAAUCCUAGCAACAGCUCCCCGGGCAGGACGAUAAUCCACCUUUUUUUAGUAUUUAGGAAACAGACUCAGCAAAGCCAAGUAGGUUUGCUGAAAUUCAUAUAACUACUAAGAAGCUAGAUUUCUCUUGUCAUUAAGGGCUCACUGUAAUUCAUUCUCAUUACUUUGAUCGACUAGUCCUCACAACUGCUUCUGAAAAAAAAAACAUUUUUUUCCUGUUUUAAAAAGGUUUACUUGCUCAUUGUGCAGAAAAAAUUUAAAAAUAGAAAAUAAAUUUAAAAGUUCCUGCCAUUGAGAUAUA